GACGAACGCUGGCGGCGUGCCUAAUACAUGCAAGUAGAACGCUGAAGGAGGAGCUUGCUUCUCUGGAUGAGUUGCGAACGGGUGAGUAACGCGUAGGUAACCUGCCUGGUAGCGGGGGAUAACUAUUGGAAACGAUAGCUAAUACCGCAUAAUAGCAGUUGUUGCAUGACAACUGUUUGAAAGGUGCAAUUGCACCACUACCAGAUGGACCUGCGUUGUAUUAGCUAGUUGGUGGGGUAACGGCUCACCAAGGCGACGAUACAUAGCCGACCUGAGAGGGUGAUCGGCCAACCUGGGACUGAGAAACGGCCCAGACUCCUACGGGAGGCAGCAGUAGGGAAUCUUCGGCAAUGGGCGGAAGUCUGACCGAGCAACGCCGCGUGAGUGAAGAAGGUUUUCGGAUCGUAAAGCUCUGUUGUAAGAGAAGAACGAGUGUGGGAGUGGAAAGUUCACACUGUGACGGUAUCUUACCAGAAAGGGACGGCUAACUACGUG
RNAcentral lists this ribosomal RNA (495 nucleotides) under uncultured bacterium. RNAcentral describes it as "partial 16S ribosomal RNA". It matches the Rfam family "Bacterial small subunit ribosomal RNA", at positions 28 to 507 of the family's 1533-position model. The record is from RNAcentral.